This 468-nucleotide ribosomal RNA is filed under the name uncultured bacterium. RNAcentral's name for it is "partial 16S ribosomal RNA". It matches the Rfam family "Bacterial small subunit ribosomal RNA", at positions 28 to 507 of the family's 1533-position model. The record is from RNAcentral.
GACGAACGCUGGCGGCGUGCUUAACACAUGCAAGUCGAACGGAAAGGCCCUGCUUUUGUGGGGUGCUCGAGUGGCGAACGGGUGAGUAACACGUGAGUAACCUGCCCUUGACUUUGGGAUAACUUCAGGAAACUGGGGCUAAUACCGGAUAGGAGCUCCAGCUGCAUGGUGGGGGUUGGAAAGUUUCGGCGGUUGGGGAUGGACUCGCGGCUUAUCAGCUUGUUGGUGGGGUAGUGGCUUACCAAGGCUUUGACGGGUAGCCGGCCUGAGAGGGUGACCGGCCACAUUGGGACUGAGAUACGGCCCAGACUCCUACGGGAGGCAGCAGUGGGGAAUAUUGCACAAUGGGCGGAAGCCUGAUGCAGCAACGCCGCGUGCGGGAUGACGGCCUUCGGGUUGUAAACCGCUUUCGCCUGUAACGAAGCGUGAGUGACGGUAAUGGGUAAAGAAGCACCGGCUAACUACGUG